This 484-nucleotide ribosomal RNA is filed under the name Archon apollinaris (little false apollo). RNAcentral describes it as "partial 16S ribosomal RNA". The record is from RNAcentral. Lineage: Eukaryota; Metazoa; Arthropoda; Insecta; Lepidoptera; Papilionidae.
UUUUUGAAAAUAAUUUAAAGUCUAAUCUGCCCACUGAUAUUAUAUUGAAGGGCUGCAGUAUUUUGACUGUACAAAGGUAGCAUAAUCAUUAGUCUCUUAAUUGGUGACUUGUAUGAAGGAUUUGAUGAAAUAUAAACUGUCUCAUUUUAAUUUAUUGAAUUUAAUUUUUUAGUUAAAAAGCUAAAAUUUAAUUAAAAGACNNNNNNNNNNNNNNNNNNNNAAUAAUUUAAUUAAUUAUUAAUUUAUAUAAUUUUUUUUUUAUUAAUUAAUUAAAUUAUUUUGUUGGGGUGAUAGAAAAAUUGAAUUAACUUUUUAUAUAAAUUAACAUUAAUUUAUGAAUAAAUGAUCCGUAAUUUACGAUUAUAAGAAAAAAUUACCUUAGGGAUAACAGCGUAAUUUUUUUUUUUAGUUCAAAUAAGAAAAAGAGUUUGCGACCUCGAUGUUGGAUUAAGAUAAAAUUUAAAUGCAAAAGUUUAAAAUUUUU